RNA transcript from Malania oleifera, 7308 nucleotides. It is a transcript of the gene named transcriptional activator FLO8-like, with no coding region annotated. The record is from RefSeq and is a predicted model, not a curated record. The transcript has 11 exons. NCBI's taxonomy places the organism in Eukaryota, Viridiplantae, Streptophyta, Magnoliopsida, Santalales, Ximeniaceae.
GACUCGCCUCGCCCCGCCAGCGAAGUGUACGGCCAAUACAGACUCUGAGGAACUAAAAAACCGUCUGCAUUUGAAAUAUCUGUCUUAAUUUAAUAAGAAACUUUCCCUCUUUCUUGUUUUUCUUGCUUUUGGUUUUUGGUUCUCUCUGCAUGCAAUUCCCUCUCUCACACCUCCACCUUGCAGCUCUUGGCUUCUUCUCUCUCCCUUUCUCUCAUUAAUUACUUUCUGAACAGAAAACUCGCUUUCUGUUUCAUUUUUGUUUUUCUUGUUUUCUGAAUCGAAGCGUUUCCAUUCUUGUUCGGAAAUCAAAUACCCUGAAGCCGGAGCCAGCAGCCAUGGCUGAUUCUGGAAACUGGUGGAAUAGUCGAUUAAUGUUUGAACGCUAUCUUUAUGAUUACUUGAAGAAACGGAACUUGCAUCAAGUUGCGGAGAUCUUCAGGAGAGAGACGGACAUCCAGAUUGACCCUACGGCUCGGCCAUCUAUAGAUGUUCCUGAUGGUUUUCUGCAUGAAUGGUGGUCCACAUUCUAUGACAUGUUCAAUGCAAUGCAAUCAAACAAUCAUGAGAAUAAUCAGGCUCUUGACAGAAUGGCUGAAAACCUUAUGGAAAUUGGGCAACAAAGCAAUGCUUCACUGCAAAAUUAUGAAUCAAAUGAUCAAAUGAUUAUGCAUCCAACUGUUAGAGCUGAUUCUGGAUUGACUGCAAUGGGCGACAAUCCACUGCCAUCUGUGGGGUGGCCUUUGACAGGAGAUGUGCAAAUGGCACAACAUUUUUCAUUUUCUCAACAUCAAGAAGAUUUAGCAAAACUCACCUUGGAGACAUCAUAUCAACAAGGGUUGCCAGCACUCACAUCAGAGACAUUGUAUCCUGCUGGCAACCUUUUCAAUUUAAGUGCACAAGAAAUAGAAAGUGAUGUUCGCACAGCCCUGAGAAUAGAUAAUGUUGUGCCUAAAGAGGGAAUUACACAAAUGCCACAACUGUGGGCAUCAUCCCAAAAUCAACAAAUGGUACCAUCAUCCACAUCAUGGACAUUGAAUUCCUCAGGAAAUUUUUCUGAUUUGAAUGCUCUAGGAGUAUACUCUUCGGUUCACAUAGCAUCCGGAGUGGAUAAUGUUUUGUUUGACCAGGGAUCUGCAGUAGUACCUCCUGGGAUUGAGAAUUAUGUGUUAAACUCAUUUCGGGUGUCAGAACAGCAUCAGAAUGAAUUCAGUGACAGAAUACCAUUAAUUGAGGCUAGCAGAAUGGGUACUAAGCCAUCAUAUUCUCAAUGUGGAAGUGGAGGCAUACAAGGAGUUGCUAAUUCUCCUGCAGAAGCUUCAUCUCAAUUUCAAAUUCACAAUUCCUUCCCUCAUAAUGCCAAUCCAUCUUCUUCUUAUGCAUAUGACAGUGAAAAUGAAGCAUGCAGUUCCAUUGGCAACCUGCAAAAAUGCUCUGCAGCUUCCAAAUGCAAAUUCUCUGAAAGAUGGGAUACCUUUAGAAGGCUUUCUAGUCAACUUCAUUUCCCAAGAUCUUAAAUAUGCUACUGUCAUCUUCAUUUACUCAAAACUUCAUACUUCUCAGCAUGAUUUGGGAUCCGCCAGGUUCUGUUCUGAGACGAUUGCUUCAAGGAAUUGGUUGCCUUCCAACUGAGUACUUACUUUCUUCGCUAGUCUUCCUCAAAUAUAUUAAAAAAUGAAGAAUGGAAAGCUGCAGUAUAAAAUUCAGUAUACCUGCACUGGUAAGUUUUCUGAUUUUUGUCAUCUUUGCAGUAAGAUUUCUAUUUGUUGAUAGUGGUUUAUAAGCUUCCACAAAAUGCAUGUAGCUCAGGUCUCUUUUAAUUUUUCCUAAAUUUCAAGAAGGCAGGUUGACCAUACCAGUCUCAUUUUCAUGAUCUGAUUUUUUCAUCAAAGAAUAAAAAAAUCUGAAGAUUGUAUUUUUUAUUUUUUUUAGCAUUUAUAAAUUCCAUAAUUUUUGUUGGAGAUGUGAAGUAAAAUGUUCCAGUUCUCUGAUUGUUUAAAUGAACUAGGUUGUCUAGUUGACAUUGGCAACCAUUCUCAUUAUCAUGAAUUGACCUCUGUCAUGCACUGAAUGAGGUUUGAAUUCAAUAUUCUUCUUUUUUAAUAUCUUAAUGAGGUUUACUUGAUGUUUAAAUAUUCAAUUAAAGUUAUUAAAAAAUAAAAAUGAGCAAUUUGCAAUAUUUGUAGAUGUUUAUUUUUCUUGUGUGCAUAAAGUGCAGCAAUUCCAGUUCAUGUCCUGCUGUCUGCCAUUUUUUAUUAUUGUUUCUUGAAAUCUAAACAUACUGUGUGUCCAAGCAAUUUGGGGCACAAUUGCUAAGCAAGUCAACAAUAUCCAUCAUUAAUGGGAAUUUAUGAAAUUGCUCGUUCCAAUUAUUUUAUACUAUAAAUAUGCAAACCUUUUAUAGUAUACAGUUAUUAAUUGCUUAAUGGUGACAAUAGUUACAUUGCCCAACCAUUAGAGUGUUUGAUCCACAGCUGCUAUUUAUGCUAUUUAAAAGCUUAAGCUGUUAGGUUGUGGGUCAACAAUGUAUAUCAAGCCUUCUUCCCCGCACAUGGCCCAGCAGCACGUGGAGUGAGAUAAACAAACAAUAAACAACACCUAUUUACAAGGCAACAAGACUAGAACCCUAGACCUCCUAGCAACCUGGCUCUGAUACAAUGUUAGAUUACCAGUUUACCUAAGAGCUUAAGCUGUUAGGUUGUCGGCCAACAAUGUGUGUGUGUGUGCUUAGAGAGAGAGAGAGAGAGAGAGAGAGAGAGAGAGAGAGUACUUCCAUCUAAUAUAUAAGCAUAUGUAUAUGUAAAGACACUAUUGAGCAACAGAGAAAACGCUCUUUUGGUUCUCAAUAGAAUAGUUUACGAUGACAGUAACCUCCAGAAAAACUAGAUCUAAAUGACAUACAUGCUGGACAUAUACACUGAACCCCUUCCUAGAAAUUAGCAUGCAUGAAUCAAAACCAACCCCCGCCAAAAAAACUUGAAUUUUUUUUUUUUUACUUAAAAAAAGAACAUCUGGAUCCAAAAAUUCUAAAUCCAAACAAAAUUAAAUGAAUUCUGGACCCAAUCCAAUAGGACUAAUGCGAAACAGAUAACAUAAGGCAACACAAUAAAUUUUUAGCCUUUAAAUGCAAAAUAAGAACCUUAAGAAAUCGCCUUUCCCUUGUUUUCAUAACAAGUGACAUAAAAGACACAUUGCUUGCUCUAUUCAUUUUUAGCUUCCAUCAAUUCCACCUCCUCCAUUGGAUUAGGAAAAGAAAGAAUCGUUGUAGUUUAUGUGGGUGAUAUAUAAUAUUUAGUUUCCUGAACCAUUUUAUCUUAGAUGUACAGAUUUCCUGAUGAAAGAAUAUCAUAGUUUUCAGUUCAAGAACUUAUGCAAGAAGCGAAGAAAAUAUCAACUGCACUUUCAUACGACUCAACUCCAUAAUCAUCAGAUGCAUGCACUUUCAUUAUAUAUAAUAUCUCAGAGAGAGAGAGAGAGAGAGAGAGAGAGAGAGAGAGAGAGAGAGAGAGAGAGAUGAGUAAUAUAUGAUAGUGAGUUUAUUCUAAAAAUGGAGUUCAUGGGGCAUUGUAGAAAAGUAAGAAACCUUUGGUCUUGUUUGUGGAAAAGGAUACAAAGAUAAGCUCAACUGUGUUUUUAUCUUUGCAGAGCUCAAUUAUAUAUUAAUAUAUUAUUUAUUUAUUCAUAUAUAUACAUCUAAGAACUUAUCCAAAAGACUGUACUUUUUUAAUGGUUGGAGAUGGACUUUAUCCGUGAGAAUUAUCCAUAAGAAAGUGAAUUUCAUCAUCUAGCUUAGUACUUUGGACAUCUCCUAGCUUAGUAGGCAGCCGUACUACUGCUAGCAAUAUAUGAAGUCUGUCCUUAGCAUUAUUACGCAUAGUCCGUAAAACAACUGUAUCCAUACAGAUCAUAGCCUUCAGAGUUCUAUUCCGACAGACUUGAACCAAUACAGUGGAAGUUCUUGACAUUUGACGCGUGGCUCUGGCUCAGCAAUGUAAAUGGGCAAUGUGAUCAAGCCCCUGUUCAUGGUUAUCCCUCCAAACAGAAAAGCUGCUGUUAAUACCGCCCCAGCUGGAAUUUGGCAACACAGUAAAUUUUUAGCCUUUAAAUGCAAAAUAAGAACCUUAAGAAAUCAUAUUUCCCUUGUUUUUUUAACAUUUAGAUCAGAGUUUAAUGGCUUCAUGAUCAUAUUCGAAGUCCUCAAAAGUCAUAUGUUAGCCGACUUGGAAGAAGGAUUUGUUAAGCCAUUUUUUGAUAUGUAUGGCUGACCAUGGCAAUGCUACCUUGUUCUAAGUACAGUUCAAAUUGUUCAAUUGAGGGCUGUAGAGGUUUGUAGCAAUAUAAAACUACUUGAGUGAUGGGAAGACCAAUUUAUAAGUGCAAAAUAAUGUGAAGAGAUAAAGACCAAAUACCUGUGUUUUAAGUACAUUUGAAUCGAACAUACUUUAAUAUCAUGAAAUUGUAAGCAAGGACAUCCUCUAUGUAUGAGCAGCAAAUUGAUUCUUAUGUGAUCUUUGACUUGAUAAUUUGCCAAUAUGGCUUGACAAGUUUUGAUCUCAUGUGUUUACUUAUUCCAAGUAUAUUAACAACAGCCUUCUUGAUGGGCGACUUAGAAAAAGGUCUUAUGUUGUAUUUCAUUUGCAAUUGAUGAAUGAGUGGAAUAGGGGAUUGGGAUUUAACUUUCAUUGGAGUAGGAAUGAGGAAUUAGUGAACCUGUUGGAUGAAAGACGAUGUGUUAACCAGCAGAAGAAACAUUUCUUUGGGGCUGAUGUAAUAUUGCUAAAAGUUCAAUUAUUAUCGACAGCUUGUGGCUGAUGUAACAUUUCUUUGGCAACCAUUCUUGCAGCCUCUUUUUUUUUUUUUUUUUCAUUUUUAAUCUUUUUAAUGAGCCAACUUAACGCAGGUAAUGCCCUAAUAUGCCCAAAUAGUUUUGCAUUUUUAGAGACAGUACACUAGUUUUUUGUGACUACUCAAUUGCUACUGAGUACAAAGCACACAUGACCUAAAACACAAAAUAUAUAUAUGAGAAAAUUUUGUGAUGAAUACUAUUAUGGCUUACUGCUUGAGGUCAACAUUGGGUUAAUGUAAGAUAUAAUGCCUCUAACAGGAAAAUUAAAUAUCAGAACAAUGCCUGGGCAAUUUGGAUGGUUCCUUGUAUGCUUUGCUAUUUCUUUCUGUCUUUUAACUAUUAGUUGACUCCUUUUGCAACCCUGUGCAAGGAGCUGAUUCUUCUUUGGUUACUAUAGCAUAUAAAACCUCUCUUUUAUCUUCCAUGAUCUUAAAUGGAUGAGAAGCCAAAAGAUAUUUUGGGUAAUAAUGACUAUCAACUUAACGAUGGCCAUGACCAUUUCAACCAUUAGGUUUCUUAUUCAUUGAGCACCUUGUUCCGAAUGUCGAUUCAUCUUUAAUUACCAGAAAGUCUGAGUUCGGACCUUGCUCCAUUCUUUCAGUUAAAAUUUAAAUCAUAGGACAAGAAUGGUGAACCUGCGAUCCAUCCACUCUUCUAGCUCAAUGGAUGUAUCAUGUUCCAGCUCUUCAAAGCCUACUAUGGUACCAACUUUCAUUUUUUAAGUCUCAAAAUCUACAUAAAUUCAAAUCCAAUUUAGAAGUAUGAAUUUUGAAACUUGGAUUUGAAUUUGUGUAAAUGUGGAAAAAAAAAAAAAAAACCCCACAAUAGAAUUUGAUAGUAUGUUUUAUCAAAAUCUACACAUCCAAUUCUAAUAAAAUCUCAAAAUUCAUACACAAACAUUACCAAAGUACUUUGGAAAACUAGAGCUAAAACAUAACUAAGAAACCCACAAAACACAAACAAUCUAGCUUAAUUUAUUUCAAACUAGUGUUACGCUUAAUUUCAAACACUGAGAACUCCAUAGAAAGUAACUAAUAGAGAAUGCACAGCAGAUGUGCAAAAUCUAGCUUUCCAUCCAUGGCUUUUCAAUUGUCACUCCUCUUGGGUUUGUCAGAAACAACAGUUCCCUGCAAACAAUAAACCCAAUCAAAAGCUCAAGUUAGAGAUCUUUCUCAAACCCCCCAUACCAAAACAUUUUCCUUUCAGUUUAAAUUCUGACCAAAUCGGCGGUGACCGGAAUCCAAUCGUUGGUGGCCGGGUUUCCCCUGCCGGAGCCGUGGCAGCCGGUGGCAGAAUCCGGCGCCAGGCUGAAGCAUUUCCCGUUGGCAUUCUCCAUCUUGAUGAACCCUGUUCCCGUCUGCAGUCGCAACACACACCAGAUCUCAUAAGGUGAAGAACUGAAAUUUUCUUUUCUUUUCUUUUGGAAGCAUUUAAGAUGAGAUGAUCUUAGCCGAAGCCAAAAGCAAAUCACAUUGUGAUAUGGUGGAUUGGUGUACCGUGUGGUGUUGCUUGUCAAUGCAGUUGAGAUCCUUGUAGUACUCCGUCUCCACGAAUUCCUCCGGCGUUUCGCUUCCGCUGUAAACUAGUUUCUGCGCGCAAUCAAAUUAACAAAUGCAUGAAAAUUCGAGAUGGUGUGUUUUUUUCAGAGCUGAAAUUCGAGAUUAUAUGGAUCUGAAUGUGUUUGGAGAAGAAAGAAGAGAAGAGAACCUUGGGAUCACUUUCGAGGCGUUGGAAUUCGUCAUAUUCGGGAAUUUGAUUGCAAUUGGAGAGAGCGUCGGCGUAAUUGGAAGAGUACUCGCUGCGCUGAGGCUUGGUAUGGCGCUUGGGAACGACGCCGUCAAAGUACUCUCUCGUCUCCUCCUCGAUUUUGGUCUCUGCCUCCAUCGACAGGUGAGCGUCGCUCCUGUUUGGCCUCACCUUCCUGCAAUUACAAUUCUCCAUUUCUCCGACGAUGAUGAAGAUGACGAUGAUAUGAUUCUCUCUGUACCUACUCUUUUGUUCUUGAGCUUGGAGAGAUCGGGGAAAGGAAAGGGCAAUUUAUUUCAAAAAUCAAAGGAGAGAGGCGGAAUGUGGGUCCAGAAAAUAUCGAUCAAUAUAUCAACCAGAGCCCUUAAACUUUUCUUCGGAGAAAAUAUCUGGAGAACCUUAUCCGUCUAGCACAUGAUCUCUGAGCUGAUUGCUGCAGCUGCACCAACCACAUGUGCAAAUUCAAGCAUUGAAGAGAGAGAGAGAGAGGAUAGGUUGUGGGGUGCAGGUGUUAAUGAAGGUAGGGUUGGAGUUUCUGUUGGUUCGUAUCGAUGAAGACGACGGGUCGCACGUGAUUUCGCGGAGGCCGGGCGUGGCUACCGCCUACCUGGAAGUUGAUGCAACCAUUUUCACUUUUCAGUUUUUUUUUCUGUAGUAGCAUAAAAUGUAAUAAAAAUUAUAUUAAAUUUUAUAUAAAUUCCCCCGAAUUCAAAUUUUAA